GACUCUGUACAGCGCUUGAAAGAAUAGGAAUUUAUGCUUAGCAAUCGAUGUUAGAAAGGACUUGAAUGUUUUUGGCCACCAUAGCGCAGUGGUUCUGUAUAGUUGGUUUUGAUUUUGAGUGUCCUGUUUCCAAGGGGUGUGUAUCAAGACAAAGUCACUGUCAGGGAAUCCUUGUCCUGUGAAAGUCUGAUGGAGGUGAAUUAUUAUGCAGGUAUGUAGUUUUAAAUUGGAAUUUCAUCAAGAUGAAAAGCAAUUUUUAAAUAUGAAAGUAUGCAACAUUUUUGUGUUGGUGAAAUGCAUGAAAACAAUAUUUAUAGCUGUGAUUUUGUAGUAGUUUCUAUCUGAGAUUUUUUUGUUAUAUGUGUAAAACUGAAGUUUGUUUUGGAAGGUCUUUUGUUUGGAAGUUUUUUUUCUUCCUCCUACCAUUCUUUCUUUACAGGUGUCCGUAAAACGAAAGAAAAAAAAAAAGAAAUCUGGAUUUUUUUUUCUCGUCCUCCUACCCAUUGGUUUUGUAAGAAAUUCGUAAAACUAAAAUAUUAAUAACUAUGGCCUUAUAGGAGUUGUUUCAGUUCACCCUUGUUUUUUUUACCUUUAAACCAAGACAAUAUCAAGAAUCUGAGAUGGUCCUUAAUGUUUAGAAUAAAACGGUUGACGUGAGGGCAUGUCUGAGCAUGGUAUAAGUCUACAGAUUGCUUGAAAGCAACGUAUCCCAAAACUUAAAAAAACCAAAAUUGGACAUUUACCUAUUAUGGUCCAAUAUCCAAAAUCUAAAUACAUGGUUAGAUUUAGCAUAUCAAAGAACCCCAAGAAUUCAAUUUUUGAUGAAUUUAAAUAAAGUUAAAUUUUGGACUCUUUAGACCUCAAUGUGGACCAAUUUGCGACUCUGUACAGCGCUUGAAAGAAUAGGAAUUUACGCAUAGGGAUCGAUGUUAGAAAGGACUUGAAUGUUUUUGGCCACCAUGGCGCAGUGGUUCUGUAUAGUUGGUUUUGAUUUUGAGUGUCCUGUUUCCAAGGGGUGUGUAUCAAGGCAAAGUCAUUGUCAGGGAAUCCUUGUCCUGUGAAAGUCUGAUGGAGGUGAAUUAUUAUGCAUGUAUGUAGUUUUAAAUUGGAAUUUCAUCAAGAUGAAAAGCCAUUUUUAAAUAUGAAAGUAUGCAACAUUUGUGUGUUGGUGAAAUGCAUGAAAACAAUAUUUAUAGCUGUGAUUUUGUAGUAGUUUCUAUCUGAGAUUUUUUUGUUAUAUGUGAAAAAAAAAAUUAGUAGCCAAUAGCAAACAGUUCACUCUGACUGAAUCUUAGUUACUUAGGAUAGUCUGUCCAACUUUGCCCCAGGAUAUCAUUUGAAUUGUCUCCUAAAGGAGGGAAUCAAAACCAUCAUACACAAACAUGAUUGGAGUCUCAAACAAUUUUGUAAUCUAAAAUGUAUUUUUCAGUUUAAAACAAAAUUCCUUAUAUAUAUAUAUAUAUAUAUAUAUUUAUAUAUAUAAAUAUAUUAAAAAUGUACAAGGCAGAAAAAGUGGUAUGAUAUGAUUGAAUCACUGGCAUGAAUGAAACAAUUUCUGAGAUUGUUUUCAUCUUUUAUUUUAAAUAGGUAUCACACAGGUUUUCAAUGAUGUUUGCUUUUUUUGCAGGGACUUUGAAGGCAUUGCAAACAAUCCUGAAAUAGUUCAGCUCAAGGAAGACUUCAGUAUUGUGCGGCCCAUAUGUGAAGGAUGCAUUGGCAGAGGAAUGAAACCUGCGACCAGGAAUGCCAAAAAAGUUAAAAAGUCC
This 1766-nucleotide long non-coding RNA is filed under the name Mytilus galloprovincialis (Mediterranean mussel). The record is from RNAcentral. Lineage: Eukaryota; Metazoa; Mollusca; Bivalvia; Mytilida; Mytilidae.